UCUAUUAAAGAGAGAAAAUGAAAUGGGGGUUAUCUUUGUUAGAGAUAGAAAAUGAAAUGGGGGUUUUCCCUUUUAGAGAGAGAAAAUGAAAUGGGGGAUACACAAAUUGCUUUGCAGGAGAAGGAAGACUGUGGUUCAAUGGGGUUUUCUUUCUAAUUUGCAAGAGCAAGUAGAUUGUGGUUCAGUGGAGUUUUUCUUUAUAUUCUGCAGGAGCAAGAAGAUUGUGGUUCAAUAGGGUUUUUUCUGUAAUUUGUAAGACCCUAAAAUCACUCUGGAGUCUGGAUUGCAAGAAGA
RNAcentral lists this long non-coding RNA (294 nucleotides) under Amborella trichopoda. RNAcentral's name for it is "long non-coding RNA (ATRI_LNC005015)". The record is from RNAcentral. Lineage: Eukaryota; Viridiplantae; Streptophyta; Magnoliopsida; Amborellales; Amborellaceae.